GGAAGAAUAAAAGAAGCGACAAGAACACCAGAUUUACGUGGUUCGAUCAAUUGACAUUGACCUACAUCCACGGACGAAAGAGGAGAAAAUCACUACUAUAAAAGGGACAAUUACAAAUGCCUUAGAAAAAUGUUCCUAGGCCAUAAGACACCCGAAAUUACUGAACAAGAAAAACCUAAAGUAACAAAUUAGGUUUUCUUGUGGUGCCACGUGUGGUGUCAC
This 222-nucleotide long non-coding RNA is filed under the name Musa acuminata (dwarf banana). RNAcentral describes it as "long non-coding RNA (MACU_LNC004690)". The record is from RNAcentral. Lineage: Eukaryota; Viridiplantae; Streptophyta; Magnoliopsida; Zingiberales; Musaceae.